GAUGAACGCUGGCGGCGUGCUUAACACAUGCAAGUCGAACGGGAAUUACUUUAUUGAAACUUCGGUGGAUUUAAUUUAAUUCUAGUGGCGGACGGGUGAGUAACGCGUGGGUAACCUGCCUUGUACAGGGGGAUAACAGUCAGAAAUGACUGCUAAUACCGCAUAAGCGCACAGGACCGCAUGGUCCAGUGUGAAAAACUCCGGUGGUAUAAGAUGGACCCGCGUUGGAUUAGCUAGUUGGUGGGGUAACGGCCUACCAAGGCGACGAUCCAUAGCCGGCCUGAGAGGGUGAACGGCCACAUUGGGACUGAGACACGGCCCAGACUCCUACGGGAGGCAGCAGUGGGGAAUAUUGCACAAUGGGGGAAACCCUGAUGCAGCGACGCCGCGUGAAGGAAGAAGUAUCUCGGUAUGUAAACUUCUAUCAGCAGGGAAGAA
This 438-nucleotide ribosomal RNA is filed under the name uncultured bacterium. RNAcentral describes it as "bacterial SSU rRNA". It matches the Rfam family "Bacterial small subunit ribosomal RNA", at positions 28 to 449 of the family's 1533-position model. The record is from RNAcentral.